GUGGGGAAUCUUCCGCAAUGGACGAAAGUCUGACGGAGCAACGCCGCGUGAGUGAAGAAGGUUUUCGGAUCGUAAAGCUCUUUCGUUAGGGACGAACGUGCUCUUUGUGAAUAAUGAGGAGUAAUGACGGUACCUAAAUAAGAAGCAACGGCUAACUACGUGCCAGCAGCCGCGGUAAUACGUAGGUGGCAAGCGUUGUCCGGACUUAUUGGGCGUAAAGCGCGCGCAGGCGGGAUAUCAAGUCUGUCUUAAAAGUGCGAGGCUCAACCUCGUGAGGGGACAGAAACUGGUAUUCUUGAGUGUCGGAGAGGAAAGUGGAAUUCCAAGUGUAGCGGUGAAAUGCGUAGAGAUUUGGAAGAACACCAGUGGCGAAGGCGACUUUCUGGACGAUGUCUGACGCUGAGGCGCGAAAGCUAGGGGAGCGAACGGGAUUAGAAACCCGGGUAGUCC
This 450-nucleotide ribosomal RNA is filed under the name uncultured bacterium. RNAcentral describes it as "partial 16S ribosomal RNA". It matches the Rfam family "Bacterial small subunit ribosomal RNA", at positions 354 to 796 of the family's 1533-position model. The record is from RNAcentral.